Molecule: ribosomal RNA, 443 nt
Filed under: Pantoea agglomerans
Lineage: Bacteria; Pseudomonadati; Pseudomonadota; Gammaproteobacteria; Enterobacterales; Erwiniaceae
Description: bacterial SSU rRNA
Rfam family: Bacterial small subunit ribosomal RNA
Source: RNAcentral
GGGUUUAUUCGAAGCAAACGCGGAGAACCUUACCUACUCUUUACAUCCCGAGAACCUUCCAGAGGUGGAUUGGUGCCCUUUGGGAACUCUGAGACCGGUGCUGCAUGGCUGUCGUCAACUCGUGUUGUGAAAUAUUGGGGUAAGUUCCGCAACGAGCGCAACCCCUAUCCUUUGUUGCCAGCGGUUAGGCCGGGAACUCAAAGGAGACUGCCCGUGAUAAACUGGAGGAAGGUGGGGAUGACGUCAAGUCCUCAUGGCCCUUACCAGUAGGGCUACACCCGUGCUACAAUGGCGCAUACAAAAAGAAGCGACCUCGCGAGAGCAAGCGGACCUCAUAAAGUGCGUCGUAGUUCGGAUUGGAGUUUGCAACUCGACUCCAUGAAGUCGGAAUCGCUAGUAAUCGUAGAUCAGAAUGCUACGGUGAAUACGUUUCCGGGCCUUGU